CCUACGGGUGGCAGCAGUGAGGAAUAUUGGUCAAUGGACGAGAGUCUGAACCAGCCAAGUAGCGUGAAGGAUGACUGCCCUAUGGGUUGUAAACUUCUUUUAUAUGGGAAUAAAACGUUCCACGUGUGGGAUUUUGUAUGUACCAUAUGAAUAAGGAUCGGCUAACUCCGUGCCAGCAGCCGCGGUAAUACGGAGGAUCCGAGCGUUAUCCGGAUUUAUUGGGUUUAAAGGGUGCGUAGGUGGUUUGUUAAGUCAGUUGUGAAAGGUUGCGGCUCAACCGUAAAAUUGCAGUUGAAACUGGCAGGCUUGAGUACAGUAGAGGUGGGCGGAAUGCGUGGUGUAGCGGUGAAAUGCUUAGAUAUCAGGAAGAACACCGAUGGCGAAGGCAGCCUACUGGGCUGCAACUGACGUUGAGGCCCGAAAGCGUGGGGAGCAAACAGGAUUAGAUACCCUAGUAGUC
RNAcentral lists this ribosomal RNA (460 nucleotides) under uncultured bacterium. Its description in RNAcentral is "partial 16S ribosomal RNA". It matches the Rfam family "Bacterial small subunit ribosomal RNA", at positions 338 to 795 of the family's 1533-position model. The record is from RNAcentral.